RNAcentral lists this ribosomal RNA (497 nucleotides) under uncultured bacterium. RNAcentral's name for it is "partial 16S ribosomal RNA". It matches the Rfam family "Bacterial small subunit ribosomal RNA", at positions 28 to 507 of the family's 1533-position model. The record is from RNAcentral.
GAUGAACGCUGGCGGCGUGCCUAAUACAUGCAAGUCGAGCGAACAGACGAGGAGCUUGCUCCUCUGACGUUGGCGGCGGACGGGUGAGUAACACGUGGAUAACCUACCUAUAAGACUGGGAUAACUUCGGGAAACCGGAGCUAAUACCGGAUAAUAUAUUGAACCGCAUGGUUCAAUAGUGAAAGACGGUUUUGCUGUCACUUAUAGAUGGAUCCGCGACGCAUUAGCUAGUUGGUAAGGUAACGGCUUACCAAGGCGACGAUGCGUAGCCGACCUGAGAGGGUGAUCGGCCACACUGGAACUGAGACACGGUCCAGACUCCUACGGGAGGCAGCAGUAGGGAAUCUUCCGCAAUGGGCGAAAGCCUGACGGAGCAACGCCGCGUGAGUGAUGAAGGUCUUCGGAUCGUAAAACUCUGUUAUUAGGGAAGAACAAAUGUGUAAGUAACUAUGCACGUCUUGACGGUACCUAAUCAGAAAGCCACGGCUAACUACGUG